Molecule: long non-coding RNA, 1524 nt
Filed under: Homo sapiens (human)
Lineage: Eukaryota; Metazoa; Chordata; Mammalia; Primates; Hominidae
Description: HSALNT0099546
Source: RNAcentral
CUCAAUGCAUUUAUCCUUGAGAUUGUGUUUCCACAUCUACCCAUUGAUGGAUAUGUAAGUUGUUUCCAGUUUGGAGCUCUUACAAAUGAAGCUGCUAUGAGCCUUCCUGGUGACCAAAGCUGUUGAACAUCUUUUCAGUGUAUAUCUUUGGUCCAUUUUUAAAAAAUUGGGUUUUUAAAAAAAUGAUGAAUGAGUUUGGAGAACACUUUAUAUAUGCUGCAAGCAAGUCCUUUAUCAGAUACUCAAUUCUCUGUGGAUGAAGAUUCCAUCACAGGCCAGGUGCAGUGGAUGCAGGAGUGAAGAAAACCAGCAAAAGUGCGUGCCUGGAGGGAACUUACUGGAAUAAGAGGACGGGGUACAUGUGGCGGGAAAGGCCCAAGACACCGUGCCAGAGACAGCACGAGAAACAAUGAAGUCCUUCAGAGGCACAAACUCCCUGCCCAACUGAGAUCACUGCCUCUCUCCACCUGCAGCCCCCACAUGCGCGGUCCUAGACACCCAGGCCCACACUGCACCUAAUGUCCUCACUUUCCCCCCGGGGAUAGUUCUUACAAUUUAAGGGGAAGAUGGUUCUGGGGCCGGUGCAGACUGCGGGCUGCGUCUCCACCUGUUGCCCUGCAGCUUGCCGUGUGGCCAGGCCAGAGUGGAUGCUCCAGAGCCUUUGCUGAGUGAAUCCAAGACUUGCUUUAAAAACAGACUUUCUUCAUUUAAGCUCUGAUUUGGACAAAUACAUCCAAGAAACAGCACACUAUCAAAACGAAUUUCCACACAGCAAUGUAAAAACACAGCACAGAAAAAUGACAACAGCCUGAGGCCAGAACAAAGACUCCUAGAAACAUCUUCAUACAACUUAAAAUUGGGAGGCUGGGUGCGGUGGCUCAUGCCUGUAAUCCUAGCACUUUGGGAGGCUGAGAUGGAAGGAUCUCUUGAGGCCAGGAGUUUGAGAUCAGCCUGGUCAACAUAGUGAGAUCCACCCCAUCUCUUAAAAAAACAAUUUUAAAUUAGGAAAUAAGAGAAGUCGAACUUGCCAUUUAAUGGUGAUGAGCAUGGAGGGGAUACUUUUCCUCGCAGACUGUUUCAUUUUCUGGCUGUGAUAAAGCCAACACUUGCUUUUUCUGAUCACCAGGACGGGGGUGCUCUUGCAGUGCCCACGUCAGGGGGAGUUUUUGGUGUGAGACAGCGUCCAGACUCUUCACUGAAAUUCAAGUGCUGAAAGGACUUUCUAAGCCUCAGAGGGAAGUGGAGAUGAGAUGAGAAUCUGACUUUUGCCCCAGUAUUUGGCUUGCAAAGAUGGAAUGUUCCUUUGUGGACUCUGAGAAUGCUGUAUUAAUGUGGAGGUAGAGCUGUUAGGGCCAACGCUAAGAGCUCCCAGUAGAGGGACAGGCUCGCUUUAGAGAAACUCUGUGUCAUAUGAGUUUUGUCCAUGAGAUGGCGGUGUCGUAUCAUAAAAGAAACCUUCCCUUUUAACUAUUGCUCUGAAAAACCCGGUAACAACUUUUUAAAAAAAGGCAUCUUGCUCCCCCA